RNAcentral lists this ribosomal RNA (207 nucleotides) under uncultured bacterium. RNAcentral describes it as "partial 16S ribosomal RNA". It matches the Rfam family "Bacterial small subunit ribosomal RNA", at positions 568 to 774 of the family's 1533-position model. The record is from RNAcentral.
UGCGUAGGUGGCCAGGCAAGUCAGAAGUGAAAGCCCGGGGCUUAACUCCGGGACUGCUUUUGAAACUGUCAGGCUAGAGUGCAGGAGAGGUAAGCGGAAUUCCUAGUGUAGCGGUGAAAUGCGUAGAUAUUAGGAGGAACAUCAGUGGCGAAGGCGGCUUACUGGACUGAAACUGACACUGAGGCACGAAAGCGUGGGGAGCAAACA